Molecule: ribosomal RNA, 512 nt
Filed under: uncultured bacterium
Lineage: Bacteria
Description: bacterial SSU rRNA
Rfam family: Bacterial small subunit ribosomal RNA
Source: RNAcentral
AGAGUUUGAUUAUGGCUCAGGAUGAACGCUAGCGGCAGGCCAACACAUGCAAGUCGCGGGGCAGCACGGGUAGCAAUACCUGGUGGCGACCGGCGCACGGGUGCGUAACGCGUAUGCAACCUGCCCCCAUCAGGGGAAUAGCCCGCGAAAGGCGGAUUAAUGCCCCAUAGGCCCAGGGCGCCGCAUGGCGCUAUGGGUAAAGCUCCGGCGGAUGGGGAUGGGCAUGCGUGCCAUUAGCUAGUGGGCGGUAACGGCGCACCAAGGCGACGAUGGCUAGGGGGUCUGAGAGGAUGGUCCCCCACACUGGUACUGAGACACGGACCAGACUCCUACGGGAGGCAGCAGUGAGGAAUAUUGGUCAAUGGGCGGAAGCCUGAACCAGCCAUGCCGCGUGCAGGAUGACGGCCCUACGGGUUGUAAACUGCUUUUCCCCGGGAAGAAUAAGCCCCUCGUGAGGGGUGAUCGCCGGUACCGGGGGAACAAGGAUCGGCUAACUCCGUGCCAGCAGCCGC